GGCUCGAUAGCUCAGUUGGUAGAGCAGAGGACUGAAAAUCCUCGUGUCACUGGUUCGAUUCCAGUUCGAGCCACCA
RNAcentral lists this transfer RNA (76 nucleotides) under Clostridium homopropionicum. Its description in RNAcentral is "tRNA_Phe_GAA". It matches the Rfam family "tRNA". From Rfam's summary of the family: Transfer RNA (tRNA) molecules are approximately 80 nucleotides in length. Their secondary structure includes four short double-helical elements and three loops (D, anti-codon, and T loops). Lineage: Bacteria; Bacillati; Bacillota; Clostridia; Eubacteriales; Clostridiaceae. RNAcentral also lists the same sequence under 3 other names. The record is from RNAcentral.